UUUUAACUCUUUUAACUCUGCUGGCGCCAUCCUGUAGGGAGGAAUAGAGAUAGGUCUGGUACCUGGCAGCAAUUCGAUUUCAAACCCUAUCUCCCUAACAGGUGGUAGUCCUGGCAAAUCGUCUGGGAACACAUCGAGAAACUCUCGGACUACUGGUACUGUGGCUGGUUCCCUCACCUGACUGUCUAGCUCUCUCACAUGAGCUAGAAACCCCUGAC
RNAcentral lists this long non-coding RNA (218 nucleotides) under Manihot esculenta (cassava). Its description in RNAcentral is "long non-coding RNA (MESC_LNC001669)". Lineage: Eukaryota; Viridiplantae; Streptophyta; Magnoliopsida; Malpighiales; Euphorbiaceae. The record is from RNAcentral.